Nannospalax galili (Upper Galilee mountains blind mole rat) is the source of this 780-nucleotide RNA transcript. It is a transcript of the gene named dnaJ homolog subfamily B member 6 pseudogene, with no coding region annotated. The transcript has a single exon. The record is from RefSeq and is a predicted model, not a curated record. NCBI's taxonomy places the organism in Eukaryota, Metazoa, Chordata, Mammalia, Rodentia, Spalacidae.
AUGGUGGAUUACUAUGAAGUUCUAGGAAUGCAGAGACGUGUCUCAUCCGUGGAUAUCAAAAAGGCGAACCCGAUGCAGUCACUCAAGUGGCCCCCAGAUAAAAAUCCUGAGAAUAAAGAAGCAGAGCGAAAGCUCAAACAAGUAGCCGAGGCCUAUGAGUUGUUAUCAGAUGCUAAAAAAAAGGACAACUAUGACAAACACCGAUGGAGGAGGGGGAGGUGGAAGUCACUUUGGCAGUCCGUUUGAGUUCGGCUUCACAUUCUGAAACCCAGAUGAUGUCUUCAGGGAAUUUUUUGAUGGCGGGGACCCAUUUUCAAACGACUUCUUUGAAGACCCGUUUGAUGACUUUUUUUUUUUAAACCAAAGGGGUCCCUGAGGAAGCAGAAACUGAAGCCCCAGCUCCAUUUUCUCCACCUUCAGCGGAUUUCCAUCAUUUGGAGGUGGAUUUUCUUCAUCUGAUACAGGAUUCACUUCGUUUGGAUCACUGAGUCAUGGGGGUCUCACUUCCUUCUCUUCAACAUCAUUUAGCAGCAGUGGGAUGGGUGACUUUAAGUCAAUAUCAACUUCUACAAAAAUAGUUAAUGGCAGAAAAAUCACUACAAAAAGAAUUGUGGAGAAUGGUCAAGAGAGAGUAGAAGUUGAGGAAGAUGAUAAAAGUCCUUGAGGAUAAAUGGUGUGGCUGAUGAGAAUGCCCCUGCAGAAGAGUGCCAGCAGAGAGGGUAACACACCCCAGUCCUGGGCCCAGGCCCCACCUCCAGUCCCAACACCAAAAAUCACUAG